Gasterosteus aculeatus aculeatus (three-spined stickleback) is the source of this 1543-nucleotide non-coding RNA. The record is from RefSeq and is a predicted model, not a curated record. NCBI's taxonomy places the organism in Eukaryota, Metazoa, Chordata, Actinopteri, Perciformes, Gasterosteidae.
CAUUAAAUGUGUCAUUAAUUAAUUAAAAUACCGAUUCAUUGUAUGUAAAAUGCAUAUAUAACUAUUUCACUAUUUACAUUUACAUUUCAUGAUCCUGCGUUGCAGCGCUUCAUGAAUUACUUAAAACUGUCAAACUGACCCAUCAAAGUCAGUGGGCGGGGCUAACGCAAAUCUAGUCUGAUCCAUUGCUUUGGUCUGAAGUACCUGGAUAGAAACAUGGAGGAUCUCCGUGAACUUUCCAGGGAGUUGGUGAGAGACAUUUUAAACUUAGCAGAGGAUGUAGAAGCAGGACCUGCUGAGUCCGAGCAUGUAGCUAGUAAAGCAGAGGAACUUAUUGAAGUUGUUGGAGUCAUUUCCGCACUUUCUGACGAAGAUAUCGACCACAGAGUAAUUACAAAUCUAGAAGAAGUUGUCCACCGCUUCUCUGGUACCAGGGCGCAUCAGGCCCAACACACACAGGGACCGGGGCGUUUGCCGUUUGACAUACCGAGUGCAGUUCUGGAGCAUCAAGUUCUUUGUGGAGUUCCCGCAGUUCAAAUCGCAGCGAUGUUCGGAGUGUCAAAGAGGACCAUCAGGAGGCGCAUGCAACAACACAGUUUAAGAAAAACAGAUCUCUAUUCAGCUGUGAAUGAUGAGGAGUUGGACCAUAUUGUAAGUGAAAUUCACAGAAGUCAUCCAAACACCGGCUACAAGCUAAUGCGUGGUCACCUGAAUGCAAGAGGUGUGCGUGUUCCAACUGUCCGGAUGUUCCUCCCCUCAGUCUCAAGACUGCAAGAGUCUUUACGCAGAGUAGAUGCAGAGGGAGGCUACAUGAGACGUCUGAGGCUGCGUGUAUUAAGGCGACGGCAGUAUUUUGUGCCUGGCCCAAACUCUUUGUGGCAUAUAGAUGGCCACCAUAAGCUCAUCAGGUCAGUGAUAUUAGCAGAUAAACAAUUCAUCGUUCUAGAUGUUUCAUUACAAUUGUUUUACAAUAAAGUUGUAUCUGUGGUACUUUAAAUGGAACAUUUACUAUAUUGUCUUUAAAAUCUCCCAAGCUUUUAAAGAUCAACCUGUGAGCUGUAGUUUCUACAGUGCAUACUACAGCUGUAUUAUUUCACAAAACUUUAAUAACUAACAAUUUCUCACUGACUUGGUGACCAAAAAUAACAAUCUUGUGUUAGGACAUGUCAAACUAUUUUUAAGUACAAGUUUGAUUAUGCUUGUCAUCUUUUCAGAUUCCUGAAGAGUAUGGGAUCGACUGGAACGGACCUCACAGCCUUCAUGGAGGCACUGUGUCAGUCCCCGAGGUUCAGCUGGCCCGUGAGCUCUCAGAUGAAGAGGUUGCAAUUUUGUCAGCUCCAGGAGUUUCUGUUACUGAUGCGCUUAGACUAUAUGUAGAGACUGUGGAAGUGUUAUCAAGAAUCUUAGACUGAUGUCCGACACGUUUUUAUUUUUUGUGUUAGAACAAGCAGUCAAAAACUGAAAGUUUGCUUUCCUUUAAAAAAAAAAAAUAUAUAUAUAUAUAUAUAUAUAUAUGCCGAAUAAAAAUAAAAUAAAAAGUCAA